This is a long non-coding RNA of Dicentrarchus labrax (European seabass), 1946 nucleotides long. RefSeq lists it as uncharacterized. The transcript is spliced from 3 exons. The record is from RefSeq and is a predicted model, not a curated record. NCBI's taxonomy places the organism in Eukaryota, Metazoa, Chordata, Actinopteri, Moronidae.
CGCACCUUCUCCUCAUACUGCUGGUUCAGAGUGUUCAUGAUGAUGGCUGUUGUAAAAAUAAAUGUGUUUUAAAAAGGAAUAAAACCGCUAGAGAACCGAGCUAUUCACUGGAAGGAGUGUCCGUGUGGAGCCUGCAGCAUCCAGAGUGAGAACAAUUUUCUACCAAAGAAACUGUCUCGAUGUUGACAGCGUGAUUCAGGGACAAUGAAGAAGCAUACCUGGUCUCCAAUGUUCUCUGGCUGUCCCUUUACAGCCACCCUGGCGAUGCCGGGCAGGUCAAUGAGCGUCAGGUCUGGAACAUCAGGAGAGGCGAUCUCCAGACUGAUGAGGUCAUCACUGAUCCCCACCCCGACCCCGGCCAUUUCAUCCUGAGCUGAAGCAAGAGAACACCGUGUAUGAUGAUUACAAAGGAUGGAAGUGAACUGAAACCUAAAAAAAUAAAAUCAGCAGCUCCAUCAAUUCUUAUGUGUAAGAAUACUGUACCUUCUCUAAUCUUUUUCUCCACAUCUGCAGGGUCUUCUAUCUCUUCCUCAAAGUCUUGGUAGCUUAUCUUUCCGUACCACUCCUCUCCUUCUUUCUUUCUCUUCAUCUUCAGUUCGAGAGGACAUCUUGUCACAAUGCCUGAAUUACGAAAGAGUGAAAAUGAGAAAGCAGGAAAAUGAGUCAAAACCAGUGUGUUAAAUUAUGAAAAGCAGUAGUAGGUUACAUAUACUAGUAUUAUAAAAGUAAGAUGACUAUAAGAUACAAAAUAUGGUCCAUGCAUAAUAAAUAUGCUAGAGAGAAGUCUAACACAAUUUUUUUUCUUUCCAAAAUCCACGACCCAAAUGUAAACAGGGACAUGUCUAUAAUAUGGAUCUACAUGUACACCUGGUAGACACUAUACCUGUUCUUAUGCAUAACAAGCCAUCAUUGGCAUUUAGUACAAAGCACCUAGCCAGGAGUGGACUAUAAUGACUGGCUGCAUCCAACAACUUAGUUCUUUUCAAGCAUACUGAACCCUAAACUGGACACUCCCUGACUCUGUUUUAAUUAUUAUUUUGACAUUUUAUGCCCUUAUUAGACAGUGUCAGUAGAAAGAUGACAGGACCCAAAGGAGAGAGAUCCAACAAAGUCCCCCAGCUGAACCUUGAAAAGGGAUGUUGCAGAUUAUGGUCAGAAUCUUAAACUCUAAGUAGAUAACAACCACAUAAGAUACCUGUUGGUAAUAAUGGAGAAAUAGUUACUGUACAACAUUAUCACCUAAUUUCUAUAUCUCUCAGACUUUUAGAUUUGCAGAGAGAAUUUAUUUAUUUUAAAUCCAUACUUAUAUUUAUUCACUGGGAGUGACCCUGCAAUACAGCACUACAAUGAACAGCUGCCAGGGAAUAAUGUUGUUGCCUACAAGUUGGCCUGGUGCCCUCACCUACACCAGAGAACCUGCUGUAAAACCAGCCAAGCCGGUUUGGACAUUUCCAUCAUUUCCAUAAUUGAUAAUGGAGUCGUGCUCACUAAAAUAGAAAAUGACAUUAAAAAUUAGCAGUGAGUGCCAACUGGUAUGGAGCAUCUAGCAAGAUGAUGGAGGAGACCCAAACAGAGCGAGAUGGAAACGUAUUAGUGGCCAGAAACACAAAUCUUAACCAAUGCUUAUGUUGCUCCAUGUCUGCUGAAUUUGUAGGCAACGGAUAACUCUUUAACAAAAACAGCCUUUAUAAAGGCGAUAAUGUGUCAGAGCAGUGUCUUUCUCAGCUUGUUGUGUGUCUUCUUCCCCAUGGCCAACAGCCAGUGAAUGCAGCUUUAAAGCUCAUCUGACAGCCAACUGAUGGUUGUUUCUAAAGUUUUCUUUUCUUCUGAAGUUGACCGAUGGUACUUAUGAAUCCCAGUGUUUCAAUAUUAUUGCACUGUAACUGUAUUUCUGCUCUAUUCCAUUUGUAUUUCAUUUCAUAAAUCUUCAUUUUAUUCAAUCACAA